UCUCAAAUCAGGUAGGACUACCCGCUGAACUUUAGCAUAUCAAUAAGCGGAGGAAAAGAAACUAACAAGGAAUUCCCCUAGUAACGGCGAGUGGAGCGGGAAGAGCUCAAAUUUAAAAUCUGGCAGUGGUAUUCUGUCCGAGUUGUAGUCUAGAGAAGCAUCAUCCGUGCUGGACCAUGUACAAGUCUCUUGGAACAGAGCGUCAUAGAGGGUGAGAAUCCCGUCCUUGACAUGGACUGCCAGUACAUUGUGUUGUGCUCUCAACGAGUCGAGUUGUUUGGGAAUGCAGCUCAAAAUGGGUGGUAAAUUCCAUCUAAAGCUAAAUAUCGGCGAGAGACCGAUAGCGAACAAGUACCGUGAGGGAAAGAUGAAAAGCACUUUGGAGAGAGAGUUAAACAGUACGUGAAAUUGUUGAAAUGGAAACGCUUGAAGUCAGUCGCGUUCGCUGGGAUUCAGCCUUGCUUUUGCUUGGUGCAUUUCCUGGUGUUACGGGCCAGCAUGGAUUUCGACCGGUGGAGAAGGGUUGGGGGAAUGUGGCACCUCCGGGUGUGUUAUAGCCCCUUGUCCGCAUACGCCGGUCGUGG
RNAcentral lists this ribosomal RNA (584 nucleotides) under uncultured Basidiomycota. RNAcentral describes it as "LSU rRNA". It matches the Rfam family "Eukaryotic large subunit ribosomal RNA", at positions 1 to 586 of the family's 3401-position model. The record is from RNAcentral. Lineage: Eukaryota; Fungi; Basidiomycota.